This is a non-coding RNA of Alexandromys fortis (reed vole), 834 nucleotides long. The record is from the annotation of a RefSeq genome assembly. Lineage: Eukaryota; Metazoa; Chordata; Mammalia; Rodentia; Cricetidae.
AAAGCCUACAGGAGUCAACAAGAUCACUGACCUCAGAACCUGACAUCACAGGCAAUGAGCUGAAAGGAGGAGCUGACUCCUGCUCUCACCAGGGAGAGCAGCAUGCUGAGGAGAAGGAUGUGUGGCACUGCCCUCCCUGGCUCUGCCUGGGGCCCCAGCCUGCUCUGCUGUGUCACUGUCUUUCUCCUGGGAACAAGUUCAGCAAAUCCCGGGGUCGUCCAAUCUCCAAGACACAUAAUCAAAACAAAGGGAGGAAGGUCCAUUCUCAAAUGUAUUCCGAUCUCUGGACAUGCCAGUGUAGGCUGGUACCAGCAGACUCUGGGGAAGGAACUGAAGUUCCUCAUUCAGCAUUAUGAAAAAAUGGAGAGAGAGAAAGGAAAUAUACCCAACCGAUUCUCAGUCCAGCAGUUCAGUGACUAUCACUCUGAGAUGAACAUGAGCACCUUGCAGCUGGAGGACUCUGCUGUGUACUUCUGUGCCAGCUCAUCACAGCCUUACAGAGUCACAGACUUUCUGUCCCUUAACCUUUCUAUCCCUGUCGGUGAUAUACUAAUGAGGGAUGGGGAGAUGCCUCACAGCCUUCGUCAAUGCCAAGAAAUAUUUAUAGCUCUUUAUAAAUCUCUCAUUGGGCUCACACAGAUAGUUCUAAACACAGAGGUAGGCUCCAAGAUACCCAGUUGUUUUUCUGUCUCUGCUAGCACCUCUCAGCUCCUAGCCAGUGGUAGGAAUCGUACUCUGUGCUGGAUGCUUGGGAUUGGGCUUAAACUGUAUGCUUUAAGACAAGGGUAUACAUUAGUGUAUCCAUUAGUAGAUGGAGAUUUCUAUACACAAUAG